GGUUGUCACGCAGCGCAUGUGCAAGCCCGCCCUGGAAACAGUCGCUGGGAGGAACUUCGGGUCUCGCGCGUGCGCACAGGGAGCGCGGGCUGCCAGGCCCACGCCACCGUCCGCGCGGGUUAAGCACGUUGGUCACGUGUUGACCGCCGUCCCGGUUUGAGGAGGUUCGCGCGCCAAUCGCUGCUGAGACACUGGCGGGAGGAGUUGUGGUCAGUGACUUUGGAGGCCUCUGAUGGUGUGGUGGGUGGCUGAGGAGGCAGGCCGUGAAUCUUGGAGCACGAGGCGUGUGCAACGUGAUUCUCACGUGGAUGGGCCAUAGGGAGGGUGGAUCGCAACCUGCGGCUUGGAAGCUUAAGGUGGCUCUUCCCGAUAUGGGGCCGGAGAGCUCUGAAUGACGGACUCCAAAGGCCACCUGCCCCAAUUGCUGUCUUUUGAUAGACGUCCACAGAUUUCCUCGUUGGGAGCUGUAAAGAAAACACAGCCAGCGUCGCUAAGCACCUUCCUCCUGCAGCAAGGACACUCAUUUGAAUGAGGAGAGGUUUUCUUCUGUAUGGAAUACAUCAAAGAGGAAGGCACCUGGGGAAUCUCGCAGACAGUGGGCCACAGGAUUGUGGAGAGAAGCAGAGAUGAGAAAGAAAAAUUUUAAAAAGCCAAAAGUGUAGAGUACUACCACAAGCAAGAUGGAUGAAUGUGAUUUCCCCGAGCCUUUCAUUUUGGGGGGCAUUUGCUGCUGUGCAGCGCCUUUGAUUGGACCCAGGAUUUGAAGAAAGGGGUGCUUAACUGUCAAGUGUGCAUCAACAAAAUGUUCAAAAAUGGGUUCUUAUACACUGACUCUUGAGGGUUCCCAGAAUUAUGAUGUCAUCCCAUCUUUGUGUUCCAGUCCAAGACCACAAAGACCUUCAUCUACACAGCCGCUUCCACGUGAGCAGAGCUGGUAGGGAGGGUGCUAGCAAUGCUGACCCAUGAUGCUCGUUCCCAAAACCUGCUGCUUGGCUGUGCUUCCAAUCCCCAGCUGUCAGUCCAUCUGCCCCCUCCGGUGGCCUCAGGUUGAAGUCACCCAGAUGCAUAGCACUGAAGCUAAUUAAUGUGUCCUCUGGCUCACAGCAAGCACCGUGGCCUACGGCAGGUGGCAACAUUGACACAGGGCGGGGUCCAAUUUUAAGCAGCUAAAUGUUAGGGGGGCAGAGGUCACUCCAUGUCUGGAAUUUAAUUUCGAAGGUAGGUCCCAUUGCGAGGCUUCCUCGUCCUCUCUCCUGCUCUUCAUGGCUGUUAGCAGAAAAUACCCCAUGGGUGGAAGAAGCUUCUGCAUACUGCUGCAGUUUUCUUUUUCGUCUUUGUACGAUAGAGGAAUGGAGGUUGUGGCUGGUUUUGUAGGAGCCGUACUUCCUGUGUCAAGAAAAACCAUAUGAGGUGUUAUUGGAACUAGACUAUGACAUUAUAAAAAACUGUGGAGAAGUGUGAUAGUUUAUAUAUGCUUGGGCCAGGGAGUGGCACUAUUAGGGGGUGUGGCAUUGUUGGAGUAGGUAUGUCACUGUGGGUGUGGACUUAAACACCUUAGCCCUAGCUGCCUGGAAGCCAGUCUUCUCCUAGCAGCCUUCAGAUGAAGAUGUAGAACUCUCAGGUCCUGCACCAUGCCUGCCUGCCCUGGAUGCUGCCAUGUUCCUCCCUUGAUGAUAAUGAACCUGUAAGCCAGCCCCAAUAAAAUGUUGUCCUUAUAAGA
Molecule: long non-coding RNA, 1720 nt
Organism: Apodemus sylvaticus (European woodmouse)
Lineage: Eukaryota; Metazoa; Chordata; Mammalia; Rodentia; Muridae
Exons: 3
Source: RefSeq, a predicted model, not a curated record